This 229-nucleotide ribosomal RNA is filed under the name uncultured bacterium. RNAcentral's name for it is "partial 16S ribosomal RNA". It matches the Rfam family "Bacterial small subunit ribosomal RNA", at positions 568 to 796 of the family's 1533-position model. The record is from RNAcentral.
UACGUAGGCGGAAUAUUAAGUCAGUGGUGAAAUUCUGCAGCUUAACUGUAGAAUUGCCAUUGAUACUGAUCUUCUUGAAUUUAGUUGAGGUGGGCGGAAUGUGUAAUGUAGCGGUGAAAUGCUUAGAUAUUACACAGAACACCGAUUGCGAAGGCAGCUCACUAAACUAACAUUGACGCUAAGGUACGAAAGCGUGGGGAGCGAACAGGAUUAGAUACCCUGGUAGUCC